RNAcentral lists this small nuclear RNA (315 nucleotides) under Jaculus jaculus (lesser Egyptian jerboa). RNAcentral's name for it is "7SK RNA (ENSJJAG00000006335.1)". It matches the Rfam family "7SK RNA". From Rfam's summary of the family: 7SK was discovered as an abundant small nuclear RNA in the mid-70s but a possible function has only recently been suggested. Two independent studies have found that 7SK RNA binds the CDK9/cyclin T complex (known as elongation factor P-TEFb). Lineage: Eukaryota; Metazoa; Chordata; Mammalia; Rodentia; Dipodidae. The record is from Rfam by way of RNAcentral.
GUAUGUGAAGACGAUCUGGCUAUGACAUCUGUCUCCCCAUUGAUCACCAGGGUUGAUUUGACUGAUCUGGCUGGCUAGGUGGGUGUCUCCUUCCUCCCUCACCACUCCAUGUGCGUCCCUCCCAAAGCUGCAUGCUAGGUCAAAACGAUGACCUUCCCCUAGUAGAGGAGGACCUGUCUUCAGUCAGGGGUGUACAAGUAGCUGCGCUCCUCUGCUAGAACCUCCAGACAAGCUCUCAAGACUUUGGAUUAGAACGUGUAAUUCACCGGGCAUGGUGGCACAGACUUUUAAUCCCAGCACUUGGGAGGCAGAGAU